UGGAGUGGUUAAAGUGGUUAAAACGGUUUGAUUUGGUUUAAGAUUUUCAAAAUUUGCGGUUUUCGGUUUUGGUUUGGUUAUAGGUCUCGGUUAACCGAACCGAACCGAAAAACCGAAAUAUCAAUACUACGCCGUUUUUAUCAUUUAUGCACACUACUAUAAAUACUCCUUUUAACACUGAAACCCUAUUCAUUACCCUGCCGCAUCAUCCCUUUCCCUUACCCAAACCCUAAUUCCUCUCUUUCCCUUUUAUUUUCUUUUUUAUUUGCCUCUUUUAUAUUCUGUUGCUCUUAUUUUUGCUCCUCCUUCCAUCUAUCUUCCUUAUCAAGCGUGCUAAUUCUUAUCUUUUUCUCUACUUUUCGUUUCUCAUCGAGCGUGCUAAUGUUUUACAUUUUACGAUUUGAUAUUUCAGCAAAAACACUGGAUUAUAUGGAAGUUUUAGUUAAAUUCUUAACAUUUCAAGGAUCUUCAUUUGGCCACUCUCAUAUUGUUUUAGUUUUUGAUAUUUUGAAUAGAAUGUAAAAUAAUAUGAGAAAUUAGUAAUAUAUUUAAAUCAUAUGUUAAUAUUAAUUUUUAUCUCUUUUUAUGUAGAUCUGUAUUUAGAUUUUUAUGUUUUUUUUCAAUGGUGAACCGAACGAUCGAACCAUGAAAACCAUCCCUAUUUUAUGUGUUUC
Molecule: long non-coding RNA, 674 nt
Organism: Mercurialis annua (annual mercury)
Lineage: Eukaryota; Viridiplantae; Streptophyta; Magnoliopsida; Malpighiales; Euphorbiaceae
Exons: 3
Source: RefSeq, a predicted model, not a curated record